This 258-nucleotide ribosomal RNA is filed under the name uncultured bacterium. RNAcentral's name for it is "partial 16S ribosomal RNA". It matches the Rfam family "Bacterial small subunit ribosomal RNA", at positions 96 to 354 of the family's 1533-position model. The record is from RNAcentral.
UGGCGGACGGGUGAGUAACGCGUGGAAAACCUGCCGUAUACUGGGGGAUAACACUUAGAAACAGGUGCUAAUACCGCAUAAGCGCACAGGAGCGCAUGCUCCUGUGUGAAAAACUCCGGUGGUAUGGGAUGGACCCGCGUCUGAUUAGCCAGUUGGCAGGGUAACGGCCUACCAAAGCGACGAUCAGUAGCCGGCCUGAGAGGGUGGACGGCCACAUUGGGACUGAGACACGGCCCAAACUCCUACGGAAGGCAGCAG